UCGGGAGGAGGAGCCUAGGGUCCAGCGCCGCGCAAGCCGCCCUCGUUCCCACCAAGGGGCACUGAGGACUCUGCGCCCGCGGACCUGGCAAGGGUCGCAGAGCUAGGUCUCACCCAGCUGCCCUCCCAGGCGAGCUUCUCUCUGGGCUUCUGCAUCGAGCGGAAGUGGCGGGGACGCUCGCCAAGCCGCGGAGCCAGGGGCCUGGGGACCGAGGCCCCGCAGGAGAGCCGGCACUCUUUCUGCGCAGGCGUGUCGCUCAGGCCGGGAGGGGCGGGGUCUGGUAGGGGCGGGGGCGGAGCCAGUUCCCGGGCCCGCCUCCCCUAGCUCCCCGAGCCGCCGAGCGCUGGGCGCCCCGGCUGUUCUAGGGGCUUCAGACGCGCCGCCCUGGAGACCCUGGGCCGGCGGUGGGCGCGGCUGCCUCUCCGCGUUUGCCUGUCCGUCUUUGUGUCUGUCUCUGUGUCUGUCUGGCUGUCUCCGAGCUUGCCUCCACUUCUAGAACUAAGCCUCCGGGACACCGACAUCCCGCGAACCCUCCCCCGUCUCCCAUGGCAGGCUACAUACCCCCCAAGGGCUACGCCCCUUCGCCCCCACCUCCCUCCCCUGUGACCGCUGGGUANNNNNNNNNNNNNNNNNNNNNNNNNNNNNNNNNNNNNNNNNNNNNNNNNNCUGACGUCUGCGCGGCCCCUACUCUCUUUCCAGAUUGAUCAGAUCUUGAUUCACCAGAAAGCUGAGCGGGUGGAAACGCUCCUGGGCUGGGAGACCUGUAACCGGUACGAACUGCGCUCGGGGGCCGGACAGCCCCUAGGUCAGGCUGCAGAGGAGAGCAACUGCUGUGCUCGUCUGUGCUGUGGCGCCCGUCGGCCCCUGCGAGUCCGCCUGGUGGACCCCGGGGACCGAGAGGUGCUCCGCCUGCUCCGCCCUCUCCAUUGUGGCUGGCGCUGCUGUCCGUGCGGCCUCCAGGAGAUGGAAGUACAGUCUCCACCGGGCACCACCAUUGGCCAUGUUCUACAGACCUGGCAUCCCUUCCUCCCCAAGUUCUCCAUUCAGGAUGCUGAUCGCCAGACGGUUUUGCGAGUAGUGGGCCCCUGCUGGACCUGUGGCUGUGGCACAGACACCAACUUUGAGGUGAAGACCCCGGACGAAUCCCGCAGCGUGGGCCGCAUCAGCAAGCAGUGGGGUGGGCUGCUCCGAGAGGCCCUCACCGACGCCGAUGACUUCGGCCUGCAGUUCCCGCUGGACCUGGACGUGAGGGUGAAGGCUGUGCUGCUGGGCGCCACAUUCCUCAUCGACUACAUGUUCUUCGAGAAGCGAGGAGGCGCCGGGCCCUCAGCCGUCACCAGUUAGAGGCCGCCUCAGGGUGAAGAGACCAUCAGACUCAACCAGAAUCCACGAUGGUCCCUGGCCCUGACCUGGCCCCUCCUCAGAGACAGUCCCUUUCCUCCGUGUACACUGCAGGGGAGAGACAGGGACCCCUGAGAGGCUGGGGGCUUGGCGCCCCGGCCCAGCCCACUCCCCUGGCCUCCUUCACCUCUGGCCCCUCCGGAAGCGUAGAUAUGAGAGCCCUUCCCCGUGCCUCCCACCAGCACCCCUGCACUCCCGGCACACAGGCGUAUCGCUUUCAGACUUUCCCUCCCCGCUUCCUCCCACCCCCUUCCAGAGCCUCUGCUCCAGACCAGGCCUUGUGCCCUGGGAAGGCAGGGCUCUGGGGUUUCGUGACAGGUGGGGACUUCAACGUAGCACCAAAGAUGACAGGCGUGGCCAGCCUUUCCCCGCAUCGGGACUGGCUCCUAACUGAGGCGGCCGCUCCCUCCCAGCCUGGCGGGAGGGCCCAGGCCCCAGCGCCAACUUCCUCCCCUGGCUGGUGCUUGCCACGGCCCCCUGUGCCUUACCUCACCACCCCUUCUUCCCUCGCCCCAGGAAGGAGGCUGCCUCUUUGUAUGUUAUGUUCAUAUAAACUUUGUAACUUUUUGGACA
This 1974-nucleotide long non-coding RNA is filed under the name Sus scrofa (pig). RNAcentral describes it as "lncRNA (ENSSSCG00005043957.1)". Lineage: Eukaryota; Metazoa; Chordata; Mammalia; Artiodactyla; Suidae. The record is from RNAcentral.